Molecule: ribosomal RNA, 443 nt
Filed under: uncultured bacterium
Lineage: Bacteria
Description: partial 16S ribosomal RNA
Rfam family: Bacterial small subunit ribosomal RNA
Source: RNAcentral
ACUACGGGCGGCAGCAGUGGGGAAUAUUGGGCAAUGGGCGCAAGCCUGACCCAGCAACGCCGCGUGAAGGAAGAAGGCUUUCGGGUUGUAAACUUCUUUUGUCAGGGACGAAGCAAGUGACGGUACCUGACGAAUAAGCCACGGCUAACUACGUGCCAGCAGCCGCGGUAAUACGUAGGUGGCAAGCGUUAUCCGGAUUUAUUGGGUGUAAAGGGCGGGUAGGCGGGAAUGCAAGUCAGAUGGGAAAACUAUGGGCCUAACCCAUAGCCUGCAUUGGAAACUGGAUUUCUUGAGUGCUGGAGAGGUAAUCGGAAUGCCGGGUGUAGCGGUGAAAUGCGUAGAUAUACGGAGGAACACCAGUGGCGAAGGCGGAUUGCUGGACAGUAACUGACGCUGAGGCGCGAAAGCGUGGGGAGCAAACAGGAUUAGAUACCCUUGUAGUC